Gambusia affinis (western mosquitofish) is the source of this 2020-nucleotide long non-coding RNA. RefSeq lists it as uncharacterized. The transcript is spliced from 3 exons. Lineage: Eukaryota; Metazoa; Chordata; Actinopteri; Cyprinodontiformes; Poeciliidae. The record is from RefSeq and is a predicted model, not a curated record.
UAUCCUUUCCUGUGACAGUUUUUUCUGAUAUUGUUAAAACACAAUAAAUAAUCUACCAUCAAUAAGAUAAGAAUAUUUUGGUGCAGAGCGAUUUCAAACUCCGUAUUGUUUUGAGCCAUAACAUUUUCAAAUAAUGCGGCGCCAUUAUUUGCUGAGCUACCAUUGGUUCAUUUGAGCGCUAACCCGGCAGAAUAAAUUCGGUUCACUAAAGAAUCUAAGUUGCUAGCAGAAUUUGUUUCAGUGUCUUGACACAAUAAAAACACUUGCAUGAUUUAAAAAGAGUAACUAUUGUGAUUUCAUUCUAUGUACAUGGGCUUUUAAUAAUCUUUCUCACAAUCAGUUAAACCAGCAUGCAUGGGUGGGUCUCAUGCAUGCUGGCUUGGCUGGGACCCACCUAUGCAAGGGUGCUUUUUUUAUUUUAAAUGAAACUGCAUUGAACGUUUUGUUGUGGGCUAGAUUAGUAGUGAUUGGGCAUGGAUUUUGUGUGGGUGACUGCAUGAGCCCCAUAUGUUUAACCUAAGAUGGGAGCCAUAUUGUUGACCCAUUUGGGCUAAUUGUAUGGGCCUUAUUCAGCAUUAAUGUGGGCUAACUGGGAAUGGGAUAGAUAUGGGGCCCCUGGCGACCUGUCCAGGGUGAACAGCCCGGAAAGUAGCCGGGGAUAGGCACCAGCAACCCUCCUGACCCCAUUAGGGACAAAGGGUGUAUAGAAAAUGGAUGGAUGGAUGGAUGGAUAUGGGGCCCACUUGGUUUCAGUAUAUUGGGCCUAAAAGCUUUUUUGUAAAUAAAAUAAAGGCAUAGCAGUUAAUAUUUUUAAAUCAUGUUUGUUUUAUCAUGUAAGUGACACUUUAAAGUGUUUUGUUUUCUCAUAAUUUGUUUCAGUCUGCAGCUGUUGUGUGUUGGUCUAUAGACUAGUCUUCAGUGGCCAAGCCUGAUUCAAUGAUUGAAAGAUGAAGAAUUUCUCUGAUAUUUUUGCAAUAUUUUGCUAGCACUUAUGUGAAAUAUACUUAUAUUUAAGUGUAGCUCUUGUUCUUUUAUGUGUACAAUAUUUUAGGAUUUAUUAGUAAUAUUUAUUAGUGAUUUUUCUAAACUACUCUUAAGAUUAAUACUACUGUCAGUCCUGUCACAGUACCAAAUAAAUGAGGAUAAUUGCAUUAGUGAAACUGUUCAGUGUUUACAAUAUAAGGCUUCAGUGAUUAAUCUAUACAAAGGCUGAUUUGCCUUAAAUAUAUAUAGGCUUUUUGAAAAGCCCAAAUGUUAUUUUAACUGGACUAAUAAAUAUUUUUCGCAGACUUCAAGAGCAUCAACCUGUGAAGAUCGCCUUUGACGAUUUGAAAAAGGUUGCCAUGGUUACAGAAAUUGGAGGAGUGUCCAGCUGUGCGAGUCCUCAUGCCCCAUGAAUUGGCGGUCCAGUUCAGCCUUUUUGGACGACAUUGGAAACACAAGCUCCGUGACCCGCGUCUCUUUGAAGUUGUGUAUGGGACACUUAAAAGAAAUGGAUCCAUCUACAGAAUCACACAAAGAUAUGGAAAAGGCACUCUCAAAGUGGUUUACUGGAGCCUGUGACUGGUGGAAAUAGGAAAGUUAGAACAACUAGGGAGGCUGUCAGUUCAAACUCAGGUGGGCAGAUCUUUCAAGAUGGACAGUUUCAAUAAUGUAUGAGAGCUUUCUAAGUUUAAGCAUGCAUGUGACAUGAAGGUUAUUCUUAAAAAUGUUUGACAAAACGGUAUUGUGAAAGAUCUAUAUAGCUCUGGGUAUGUAUAUACAUAUAUAUCUACAGUACAGACCAAAAGUUUGGACUCACAGUUGUGUCCAAACUUUUGGUCUGCACUGUAUGUUAUAUAGAUGGUAUUUAGAUUUAUACAUUAAUAUAGAUCUUUACAGAUAUAUGUAGGUGUCUUUAUAUGUGUGCAGCUAUAGAUAUAUGUUCAUUAAUCUAUAUUUAUAGAUCUGUUUAUAUGUUUGUUAUAGUAAACUAGUUUCUGUUUUCAAAAUGCCAUGUGAAUAAUUGUUUUUUUAUUUU